CGGGCUAUAGCUCAGCUGGGAGAGCGCUUGCAUGGCAUGCAAGAGGUCGACGGUUCGAUCCCGUCUAGCUCCACCA
RNAcentral lists this transfer RNA (76 nucleotides) under Pseudomonas aeruginosa. RNAcentral's name for it is "tRNA-Ala". It matches the Rfam family "tRNA". From Rfam's summary of the family: Transfer RNA (tRNA) molecules are approximately 80 nucleotides in length. Their secondary structure includes four short double-helical elements and three loops (D, anti-codon, and T loops). Lineage: Bacteria; Pseudomonadati; Pseudomonadota; Gammaproteobacteria; Pseudomonadales; Pseudomonadaceae. The record is from RNAcentral.